UCAUAUCAUGUGCUUGUUGAUCAAGCUGAGUAAUUUUUGUGAAGCAAAAUCUGUAAAACAAUAAUUCAAAAGAGUAAACAAAUGAGAGGCAAGUAGGCAAUACAUGCAUAUUGGUGCUACGUAUGCAGUAAUAAAAUUUACAACACCUUCGGCAAAAAGAAGUGGAACAAUAUAAGAAUGAUCUUCACGGUCAUCUCUUGCAACUCCUACAUGAAUUAUAAUGUUACAUGAAUUAGAUGUUAAAACAUUCUCGUCUGACAAAUAAAAUAAUUUUAUAGAAUUCUAGAAAGUACCUUCCUCUAUAAUAGAGACGAUGAAAGGCAUCAUCAUCUUAUGAAAUGAAUUAUAGAAGAAAAGAAGAGCUCACCGCGGUACAGUUUUGAACGACUAAAUGCUUUCUUCAGUUAAGAAUCUCAACUUCAAAGUUUUAUCACAAAGAACCUGAUCAGAAAGAAAAGAAAAAUCAAUCUAUAGUUUCUUCACCACUUCAAUGAUUAUAGAGAAAAUGCAAUUAGUGACACUUUUAAUUAAGGAACAGAUUCAUAUAUCUAGAUGACUAUGAGUAAGGCAAUAACAUUUUCUAGAGUACUAUGAGUCUAUGAAAUUACACAUGUUUGAUGUAAAUAGGAUCAGAGACAACGAAACUAAUAUAAAAGAGAAAGAGAAGUGCAAAUAUCCCGAUGACAAAAGCACAAUCGUUGCUUUGGGAACCGAGCUUUUCUCUCGCUUGCGAACAACUCUCCAAAUCUAGUUUUUCUUUUUUUUCUCGAUCUGCUCUUCAUAGUUGGUCACAGUCAAUCGAAAGUAAUCCAUGGUGAGUAGCUCCUCUUCUCUGUCAACGGUGGUGUGGUCUCUUCACCGAUGUGGGUGUGGCGAUGGAUGUGCGGUGGUAAAUCUCCUCAGCGCAUGUUCUCGUUUUGAAGACGGCGGGAAGCUUUGGAGAUUUAUUGGUUCAGCCGUUCUCUCCGGCAGCUGCGUCUACGGCGGAAGUUGGUGAAAGAGUAGGUGGGUUCGUUGUUAGACGAGGUGGUUAACGGUAGAUCUGUUAGAUCUUAGAUGGCAGAGGUGGAGUUUUUGGUUUCUUUCGGCGUGCUUGAGCCACCGUCGCUUGAAGCCGCCAUCUCUUAGCAUCCUCCCGUCCAGAUCGAGGAGGAGCUACUCGGAUUCUUGAAGAGAUCCGGUUAAGGAGGAAGAAGGAUAGAUCUGAGAGUGUUGAGUUGCUAGGUCAGGACUUGACACCGCGGAACCGUGUUGUCGGGGUGACUAGCUUUCCGGGAGGUUUGUAGCGGGUCAGGUGCGGUGGAGGAAAGGAGCCGCCGGCGAAAACCGGUCUCUUUCAACAGUGGUUUUCAAUCCUUCAUCGUGGCCGCAAAGCUGUGGAUCUUGAGCCCGCCGGAUCUAAUGCUCCGGUCACUCUGCCUCCGGCGAGCAGCAGGGUCCGAGUUCUUUUUCUUUUUCUGGUAAUCUAGGGUUUCCUUUGCUAAUGGGUUUAUUUCGUGUAAGGCUUGGCCCAGCCCAUUUGGGAAGUUUCGAAUUAUUAAUAAAAUUAUAUUAAAAAAAAAAAAAAAAAAAAUAUCCCGAUGACAGUAAGAAAGUCAUGAAUUAUAUGAAAAAAUAGAAUGAGGAAAAGUGCUGACGCAGAGUAAGAGAAAGUAAAGAAUGAUUAAAAUUGAGUUUACCGUGUUGAUUAAAUGGAAGAUGAAACAGUUUGAAUAGUGAGAUGGUUUUACAAAUUUGUGUCAUCGUGAGAUCAAAACGUGGUGUUGGUGUAAGAAGUAUAAUGCGCAAGUGCUUGGCAAGAGAAUGAAUUUUAUAAUUAUAAUCACACUAACGUUUAUGUACCUUAGAAUUGCUUCAAUACGUAGAACUACAGAUCUUUUGAAUGAAAAUUUCAUGUUCCGGAUAAGUUUUGAUCUUCCAUUUAAAUAUGAAGAUUAUACUCCAGAAGUAUUUUCCACCUGAAUAUAAAUCAGAAUCAAUAUGAAUUCAAGAGAAAAUGUAUAGCUAUGAACAAAAACUAAAAGAUUUACCUGCCCGAAAAUUGUGAAUUGUAACUGUAGUUUAUAACAGAAGAAAAACAAAAU
This 2084-nucleotide long non-coding RNA is filed under the name Capsella rubella. RNAcentral's name for it is "long non-coding RNA (CRUB_LNC001598)". The record is from RNAcentral. Lineage: Eukaryota; Viridiplantae; Streptophyta; Magnoliopsida; Brassicales; Brassicaceae.